CCACUGUAUUAGGAUGUGAUAUUGAGCAAUUGCUAAUUUCAUCUGUUCUAACAACAUGAGGUGAAAUGUUUGAACUGCUGAGUUUACCAAAAGCCCAAAUAAUCCUUAUCUAUACAGGACAUCACUGACACCAAGCAGCACAGGAGAAAAACUUCACAGGUGGAUGAUCAAUAUUUCCCAAUAACUGAGACUCCAGGCAAGACUUCCUAUUCACAUUUUAAAAGUUCCCUUGUGAAGAAACUGGCAUCUUCUCCAGUUGCUAGUAGCCCAAUUUCCACAAGGUGGCAGCAGUCACGCAGCAGAAACCAAGCGGAGCAAAGUUUUGCAGAGAGUCCUGCUACCUCAGAUGAUGGGCCUGAUCUGAUGAAAAUCAUGAUAGUUCCAAGUCAGUGUACAGAGAUGGGUGAUUCCCUCAAAGUAAAGGGGUUAUUCUAGUCAUUACUCCAUAACUCCAGAUUAAUAAAUGCAAAAAACUUGAAAAUGAUAUACAGGUGGUAUUUUAACACCUAAUAAACCUAAUAAACACCUAAUAAACUAGCCAAGAUGUAGAAGACUAUAUCAAGUAAAUGCUGGAAAGGCAAACAGUCUGAAGGAUCAUUUAUUUCAUAUGUGGUGGACUUGUAGAAAAGCAACAGGCUUUUGGGAAAUGAUACAUAAUGAAUAGAAGAAUAAGUUUAAAAUUGUGAUCCCCAAAAGUCUGACACAUUUCUUUUGGGAAUAAUA
Podarcis muralis (Common wall lizard) is the source of this 723-nucleotide non-coding RNA. Lineage: Eukaryota; Metazoa; Chordata; Lepidosauria; Squamata; Lacertidae. The record is from RefSeq and is a predicted model, not a curated record.